RNAcentral lists this ribosomal RNA (460 nucleotides) under uncultured bacterium. RNAcentral's name for it is "partial 16S ribosomal RNA". It matches the Rfam family "Bacterial small subunit ribosomal RNA", at positions 338 to 795 of the family's 1533-position model. The record is from RNAcentral.
CCUACGGGUGGCAGCAGUGAGGAAUAUUGGUCAAUGGACGAGAGUCUGAACCAGCCAAGUAGCGUGAAGGAUGACUGCCCUAUGGGUUGUAAACUUCUUUUAUAUGGGAAUAAAAUGUUCCACGUGUGGGAUUUUGUAUGUACCAUAUGAAUAAGGAUCGGCUAACUCCGUGCCAGCAGCCGCGGUAAUACGGAGGAUCCGAGCGUUAUCCGGAUUUAUUGGGUUUAAAGGGAGCGUAGGUGGAUUGUUAAGGCAGUUGUGAAAGUUUGGGGCUCAACCGUAAAAUUGCAGUUGAAACUGGCAGUCUUGAGUACAGUAGAGGUGGGCGGAAUUCGUGGUGUAGCGGUGAAAUGCUUAGAUAUCACGAAGAACUCCGAUUGCGAAGGCAGUUCACUGGACUGCAACUGACACUGAGGCACGAAAGUGUGGGUAUCAAACAGGAUUAGAUACCCUGGUAGUC